This 443-nucleotide ribosomal RNA is filed under the name uncultured bacterium. RNAcentral's name for it is "bacterial SSU rRNA". It matches the Rfam family "Bacterial small subunit ribosomal RNA", at positions 954 to 1392 of the family's 1533-position model. The record is from RNAcentral.
GCACAACGCGAAGAACCUUACCUAGGCUUGACAUGCAUCUCUAAGCGCGUGAAAGCGCGUGACCCGUUCGGGGGAUUUGCACAGGUGCUGCAUGGCCGUCGUCAGCUCGUGUCGUGAGAUGUUGGGUUAACGUCCCGCAACGAGCGCUAACCCUUGUGAACAGUUGCCAGCACUUAAGGUGGGAACUCUGUUCAGACUCGCCCAGAUCAACGUGGGAGGAAGGUGGGGACGACGUCAGGUCAGUAUCGGCCCUUACGCCGUAGGGCUGCACACGUACUACAAUCGCCCAGCACAUGAGAACCGAGACCGCGAGGUGGAGGAAUCUAAAAAACUGGGCCCAGUUCGGAUUGGAGGCUGCAACUCGCCUCCAUGAAGUUGGAAUCGCUAGUAAUCGCAGAUCAGCAACGCUGCGGUGAAUACGUUCCCGGGUCUUGUACACACCG